UUUAAUAGAUACAGAGCUUCCCACAACAUUCCCCUCCUCACUAACUCUGAUGUUGACUUGCUCCAAAACUCUAUCAGCUGUUUCACUCACAGCCUCAUUGUCCACUGUCUUGGAAACAUCCCCGGCAACAUCAGGUGAAGUCAAACCAAUAGAUUCAGUGCUCCUGACAAUAUUACCCUCAUCAUCACUGAAGCUGACUUGCUGUACGACAGUACAAGCUGUUACACUCGGAAUAAUUUCAGCGCUAGAUGUCACAGAAACAUCCCCAGAUGACCUUACAACAUCAAGUACAACUUCAACACCAUUUCCAGUAUUCCCAGAUGAGUCCUCAGCAUCCCUUGACAGAGAAUCUCUAUAAGCGUCAACUCCUUUACCCGAUCCGUCAUGCCCCAAUUCAGCACCAUCACCACAAACCCCAUCAACAAACACAUCAGAGCCUACCACCUCCACAACAUCCCCGGCAACAUCAGGUGAAGUCAAACCAACAGAUUCAGUGCUCCUGACAAUAUUACCCUCAGCAUCACUGAAGCUGACUUGCUGUACGACAGUACAAGCUGUUACACUCGGAAUAAUUUCAGCGCUAGAUGUCACAGAAACAUCCCCAGAUGAC
RNAcentral lists this long non-coding RNA (610 nucleotides) under Nicotiana benthamiana. RNAcentral's name for it is "long non-coding RNA (NBEN_LNC014256)". The record is from RNAcentral. Lineage: Eukaryota; Viridiplantae; Streptophyta; Magnoliopsida; Solanales; Solanaceae.